RNAcentral lists this transfer RNA (72 nucleotides) under Loxodonta africana (African savanna elephant). It matches the Rfam family "tRNA". Rfam says of the family: Transfer RNA (tRNA) molecules are approximately 80 nucleotides in length. Their secondary structure includes four short double-helical elements and three loops (D, anti-codon, and T loops). Lineage: Eukaryota; Metazoa; Chordata; Mammalia; Proboscidea; Elephantidae. The record is from Rfam by way of RNAcentral.
CUCUGGGUAGUGCAAUUGGUUUGCAUGUUCAGCUGCUAACUGAAAGGCUGGAGGUUCAAAUCCACCCAGAAG